This 376-nucleotide transfer-messenger RNA is filed under the name Gordonia amicalis. It matches the Rfam family "transfer-messenger RNA". Rfam says of the family: Bacterial tmRNA, also known as 10Sa RNA or SsrA, is named for its dual tRNA and mRNA-like properties. Its role is to liberate the mRNA from a stalled ribosome. Lineage: Bacteria; Bacillati; Actinomycetota; Actinomycetes; Mycobacteriales; Gordoniaceae. The record is from RNAcentral.
GGGGCUGAUCGGUUUCGACUACGUGCGUCGAGGUAGGGGAAGCGUGUCGGUGCAGGCUGGAGACCACCGUAUAAGCGUCGCAGCAACCAAUUAAGCGCCGAUUCCAAUCAGCGCGACUACGCCCUCGCUGCUUAAGUAGCGACGGCUAGUCUGUCGGCCCGGAUUGUGCUCCCGAAUCCGGAUGCCGGCAUCAUCUCAGGGAGCUCACCGUCCUCGCCGGUCGCGGGCGAGGUCGGAACAUCAAACAGCGACUGGGAUCGUCAUCUCGGCUUGUUCGCGUGACCGGGAGAUCCAAGUAGAGACAUAGCGGACUGCACACGGAGAAGCCCUACCAACACGACGGAGGACCCGGGUUCAAUUCCCGGCAGCUCCACGG